GAUGAACGCUAGCUACAGGCUUAACACAUGCAAGUCGAGGGGAAACGAUAGAGAAAGCUUGCUUUUUCUAGGCGUCGACCGGCGCACGGGUGAGUAACGCGUAUCCAACCUGCCCACCACUUGGGGAUAACCUUGCGAAAGUAAGACUAAUACCCAAUGACGUCCAUAGAAGACAUCUGAAAUGGAUCAAAGAUUUAUCGGUGAUGGAUGGGGAUGCGUCUGACUAGCUUGUUGGCGGGGUAACGGCCCACCAAGGCGACGAUCAGUAGGGGUUCUGAGAGGAAGGUCCCCCACAUUGGAACUGAGACACGGUCCAAACUCCUACGGGAGGCAGCAGUGAGGAAUAUUGGUCAAUGGGCGAGAGCCUGAACCAGCCAAGUAGCGUGCAGGAUGACGGCCCUAUGGGUUGUAAACUGCUUUUAUAAGGGAAUAAAGUGAGUCUCGUGAGACUUUUUGCAUGUACCUUAUGAAUAAGGACCGGCUAAUUCCGUGCCAGCCGCCGCAGUAA
This 508-nucleotide ribosomal RNA is filed under the name uncultured bacterium. RNAcentral describes it as "partial 16S ribosomal RNA". It matches the Rfam family "Bacterial small subunit ribosomal RNA", at positions 28 to 523 of the family's 1533-position model. The record is from RNAcentral.